Long non-coding RNA from Anneissia japonica, 182 nucleotides. RefSeq lists it as uncharacterized. The transcript has 3 exons. Lineage: Eukaryota; Metazoa; Echinodermata; Crinoidea; Comatulida; Comatulidae. The record is from RefSeq and is a predicted model, not a curated record.
ACACGAGUAGUAAUUAUGAUAAAGUAUUUUUUUUUUAUUUCUAUAGAACCUACCACAGCAGCACCACCUACAACAUCAGUGACAACUGAGGAACCUACCACAGCAGCACAACCGACAACGUCAGUGACAACUGAGGAACCUACCACGGCAGCACCACCUACAACAUCAAUGACAACUGAGGG